This 566-nucleotide ribosomal RNA is filed under the name Dendrosporium sp. 1 RB-2011. RNAcentral's name for it is "eukaryotic LSU rRNA". The stretch from base 213 to 366 matches the Rfam family "5.8S ribosomal RNA". Lineage: Eukaryota; Fungi; Ascomycota. The record is from RNAcentral.
AAGUAAAAGUCGUAACAAGGUCUCCGUUGGUGAACCAGCGGAGGGAUCAUUAAAGAGUUGCAAAACUCCCACACCCUUGUGAACCUACCCGUUUGUCGUUGCUUCGGCGGGCAGCCCCUGGGAGGGGCCGCGCCUUUCACGAGGUGCCCGCCGGAGGACCCCAAAAACUCUUAUAUUUAACGGCCUCUCUGAGAAACUUUUAAAUAAGUAAAAACUUUCAACAACGGAUCUCUUGGUUCUGGCAUCGAUGAAGAACGCAGCGAAAUGCGAUAAGUAAUGUGAAUUGCAGAAUUCAGUGAAUCAUCGAAUCUUUGAACGCACAUUGCGCCCACUAGUAUUCUGGUGGGCAUGCCUGUUCGAGCGUCAUUUCAACCCUCAAGCCCGGCUUGGUGUUGGGGCAUUGCGGCCUGCCGCAAGCCUUGAAAAUCAGUGGCGGGCUCGCCGUAACUCCGAGCGCAGUAAUACAUCUCGCUUUGGAAGAGCAGCGGGUCCCGGCCGUUAAACCCCCUAUUUUUAUAAGGUUGACCUCGGAUCAGGUAGGAAUACCCGCUGAACUUAAGCAUAUC